UNGGAGAGCAAGAAUGCCUAACUGAGAUGC
This 30-nucleotide non-coding RNA is filed under the name Mus musculus (house mouse). Lineage: Eukaryota; Metazoa; Chordata; Mammalia; Rodentia; Muridae. The record is from RNAcentral.